AAAUACUGUACCAAAAAGUUUUGUUGUUUUCAUAACGUUAACUAUGGCUUACAGUUUGAUCGAGCCUUAUAUGAUCCAGAAUCAGACUGUAGUAGAGCAAGAACCACAGCAGCAACGACUACAGAUGGACGUCUCUUUAUGGUGUAAAUGCCUUGGUGCAUUACAAUGCCAACAGAGGCCGAAAAUGUGUGCUGUCAAGAAAUAGAGAAGGUAAGGACAAGAAUACUUCAGGCACCAACCUCUCUGCAAUGUAUGACUGAACAUCCUGGACUGAACUUGCCUGAGUGUCUCUACACUGCAGAACAUAAAUAAUAUUUACAGAGCUGACUAUGGCCCACUCAGAAGGAGAACGGAGUAGGAACGUUUCAGGUAUUUGGCCUAUCGCAGUUUUGCCAGCUGGUGCUGGGGAUAUCUUGGCAGACAUGUGCGUGUGGUCAUUCCUGCAUGUGUUGUCCAGCGGAUUCGCCAGGAGUUU
This is a long non-coding RNA of Triplophysa rosa, 475 nucleotides long. RefSeq lists it as uncharacterized. Lineage: Eukaryota; Metazoa; Chordata; Actinopteri; Cypriniformes; Nemacheilidae. The record is from RefSeq and is a predicted model, not a curated record. The transcript has 4 exons.